RNAcentral lists this ribosomal RNA (800 nucleotides) under uncultured Phaeospirillum sp. RNAcentral describes it as "bacterial SSU rRNA". It matches the Rfam family "Bacterial small subunit ribosomal RNA", at positions 296 to 1110 of the family's 1533-position model. The record is from RNAcentral. Lineage: Bacteria; Pseudomonadati; Pseudomonadota; Alphaproteobacteria; Rhodospirillales; Rhodospirillaceae.
GAGGUUAGAUCAGAACACACUGGGACUGAGACACGGCCCAGACUCUACGGGAGGCAGCAGUGGGGAAUAUUGGACAAUGGGCGCAAGCCUGAUCCAGCCAUGCCAUGUGAGUGAUGAAGGCCUUAUGGUUGUAAAGCUCUUUCGACGGGGACGAUGAUGACGGUACCCGUAGAAGAAGCCCCGGCUAACUUCGUGCCAGCAGCCGCGGUAAUACGAAGGGGGCCAGGUUGUUCGGAAUUACUGGGCGUAAAGCGCACGCAGGCGCGAUCCAAGUCAGAAGUGAAAGCCCUGGGCUCAACCCGGGAACUGCUUUGAUACUGGGUUGCUAGAAACACGGAGAGGGUAGGGGAAUUCCGAGUGUAGAGGUGAAAUUCGUAGAUAUUCGGAAGAACACCAGUGGCGAAGGCGCCUACCUGGCGGGUCGAUUGACGCUCAUGUGCNNAAGCGUGGGGAGCAAACAGGAUUAGAUACCCUGGUAGUCCACGCCGUAAACGAUGAGUGCUAGAUGUUGGGGUGCAUGCACGGUCAGUGUCGAAGCUAACGCGAUAAGCACUCCGCCUGGGGNGUACNNNCGCAAGGUUAAAACUCAAAGGAAUUGACGGGGCCUAGCACAAGCGGUGGAGCAAAGUGGUUUAAUUCGAAGCAACGCGCAGAACCUUACCAGCCCUUGACAUGGGGGACAUCGACCAGAGAGAUUUGGUCUUCAGUUCGGCUNGUCCCGCACAGGUGCUGCAUGGCUGUCGUCACCCUCGUGUCGUGAGAUGUUGGGUUAAGUCCGGCAACGAGCGCAACCCUCAUCU